AAGGGAUAGGUAGGGAUUUGAGGACAGCCCAUUGGAUUGGAAGGGAUAUGAAGGGAUGAAUAAGUAGGAGUUAAGAUGGAUUUGAAGGGAUUGGUGGGGAUAUGAAAUUAUUAGAAUGGGUAAACAGGGAUCUUGAGGGAAAUGGCAUGGAUUAGAAUAGAUAUAAAGGGAUUUAGUAGGUUUGGGAUGGAUAAAGGAGGGAUAUAAAAGGACUUGAGGGAAUCGUGUUGGAUUGAAAGGGAUGUCGAGAAAUUUAAUGGGAUCGCAGUGGGUUUGAUGUGAUCAAAAGGGAU
Molecule: non-coding RNA, 293 nt
Organism: Paramuricea clavata
Lineage: Eukaryota; Metazoa; Cnidaria; Anthozoa; Malacalcyonacea; Plexauridae
Source: the annotation of a GenBank genome assembly